This 474-nucleotide ribosomal RNA is filed under the name uncultured bacterium. Its description in RNAcentral is "bacterial SSU rRNA". It matches the Rfam family "Bacterial small subunit ribosomal RNA", at positions 355 to 844 of the family's 1533-position model. The record is from RNAcentral.
UGGGGAAUCUUGGACAAUGGGGGCAACCCUGAUCCAGCCAUGCCGCGUGAGUGAUGAAGGCCUUAGGGUCGUAAAGCUCUUUCGCCUGUGAAGAUAAUGACGGUAGCAGGUAAAGAAACCCCGGCUAACUCCGUGCCAGCAGCCGCGGUAAUACGGAGGGGGUUAGCGUUGUUCGGAAUUACUGGGCGUAAAGCGCACGUAGGCGGACCAGAAAGUUGGGGGUGAAAUCCCGGGGGCUCAACCCCGGAACUGCCUCCAAAACUAUUGGUCUAGAGUUCGAGAGAGGUGAGUGGAAUUCCAAGUGUAGAGGUGAAAUUCGUAGAUAUUUGGAGGAACACCAGUGGCGAAGGCGGCUCACUGGCUCGAUACUGACGCUGAGGCGCGAAAGCGUGGGGAGCAAACAGGAUUAGAUAGCCCUGGUAGUCCACGCCGUAAAACGAUGUCUGCUAGUCGUUGGGGGCGUAGCCCUUCAGU